CGCUGGCGGCAGGCCUAACACAUGCAAGUCGAGCGCACCUUCGGGUGAGCGGCGGACGGGUUAGUAACGCGUGGGAACGUGCCCUUCUCUACGGAAUAGCCUCGGGAAACUGAGAGUAAUACCGUAUACGCCCUUCGGGGGAAAGAUUUAUCGGAGAAGGAUCGGCCCGCGUUAGAUUAGAUAGUUGGUGGGGUAACGGCCUACCAAGUCUACGAUCUAUAGCUGGUUUUAGAGGAUGAUCAGCAACACUGGGACUGAGACACGGCCCAGACUCCUACGGGAGGCAGCAGUGGGGAAUCUUGGACAAUGGGCGCAAGCCUGAUCCAGCCAUGCCGCGUGAGUGAAGAAGCCCUAAGGUCGUAAAGCUCUUUCGCCAGGGAUGAUAAUGACAGUACCUGGUAAAGAAACCCCGGCUACUCCGUGCCAGCAGCCGCGGUAAUACGAGGGGUUAGCGUUGAAGCC
RNAcentral lists this ribosomal RNA (462 nucleotides) under uncultured Paracoccaceae bacterium. Its description in RNAcentral is "bacterial SSU rRNA". It matches the Rfam family "Bacterial small subunit ribosomal RNA", at positions 34 to 543 of the family's 1533-position model. Lineage: Bacteria; Pseudomonadati; Pseudomonadota; Alphaproteobacteria; Rhodobacterales; Paracoccaceae. The record is from RNAcentral.